Molecule: long non-coding RNA, 638 nt
Filed under: Olea europaea subsp. europaea
Lineage: Eukaryota; Viridiplantae; Streptophyta; Magnoliopsida; Lamiales; Oleaceae
Source: RNAcentral
AAACAACGAUAAAAACCACAAACACCCUUUUCAGAACACAAAUUCAAAAGCUUAUCUUUCCCAUCUCUCUUUCUUCCCAAAACGAGGAGGGAAGGGAGGCGAAAUCUAGCUCAUCAUCUAACUUUUGGCAAGAUAGCAACCGCCUUAGAUUCAAUGGCUAAAAGUUUUAGAAAUUUGGUUUCUUGGAUGGAUGUUGCUCCACCCAUCUUUGUUACAUACCCUCACAAGCCGUCAAAUAUCCCCGUGUUGGAGACAAUCGAAGAAGAGAUGAAUGAGGGAGACGAUGAUGAUUCAUAACAAUCUUGCGUUCUUUGUUGACCAUGGUGUAAUUUUGUAGCUAGCUGGUUCUAUCGAAGACAAUGCAGCGAAAAUGGAUGUUAAGAAAUGCAAUAAUGAAUGGCUGCCAUCUCCGACUAGCCAGUUCUUACGCAAUAUUUCUGUAUUACAAGAGUGAAUUCGAGGAUGGAAGGUCUGUGCGGAAAUGCAAGUGCUGCAACUCCAUCGUCGUUUUGUAAAUUUGUACAUAUUGCAAGUUUGUUUUAUGAUUUUGAAUUUUUGAUGUAUAUUUGAUCAUAGUUUUGGUUAAUAUUACUUAAGGAUCUUUCUUUAAUCUGUAUUGCACAUUCAUGAUUGUUUAG